RNAcentral lists this long non-coding RNA (2077 nucleotides) under Apteryx owenii (little spotted kiwi). RNAcentral describes it as "lncRNA (ENSAOWG00000005457.1)". Lineage: Eukaryota; Metazoa; Chordata; Aves; Apterygiformes; Apterygidae. The record is from RNAcentral.
UUAAUUAAAUUCUAGCUCAGUCUUCAUCCUGAAGACAAAUGAAGUGUGAGCUUGCUUCUCAGUGGGAGGUGUGAAUCAUAGACUGACUGUCUGCAGCUGUCUUCAGUCCACACUGGGCUUUCCCACACAGCCUAACUGGUGUUGCUAAUGAAUGCAGAGUUGGACAUUCUGCUGAUUUUGGAAGUCACCAUCUAGCUCAUAAUGGCCUUGCCCAGCCUUUGAAAUUUGACCCCAAAGGACUGGUUACAGCUAAGAAAACGACAGAAGCAAAUGAAGGAGUUUCCCUGGAUAACAGCACAGGGGAGGAUGCAUGUGGCACCACCGAUUCAGAUUUUGUGAACCUUCCAGAAAUCCGAGGAGAGUCAGAGUCACAUUUCUCCUUAAACUGUCAAGAACAAUUAUGGCCCAAACCUUUAAAUGUACACGAAGAUUCACCCCAACUAAUCUCAGAAAGACAGAAGACUGCUAUGUCUGCUAAACCCAGUAUCCGAGGACAAGAUUGUUCUUUACCAUUGUAUGAAAACGAUAUGUUACCAUCAGUUUUACCUUCCAAAUAUCAAGAUGUGGCUCCUCUUAAAAGCUCCCUGACCAAUCAUAAAACAUCUUCUGAAUCUCAGAGUGCUGAAGAAGUUUCUCUUUUCUCUAUUGAAAAGAUACCCACUUCGGAGAUCCAGCAAAAAAUGCCUGCCGUUAUUACUCAAGAAGAUAAAAAGGCGCCUAUGCCAGUUCUUCCUGUCACACACACGACAAACGUAACUUUGGAAACUCACUCACCUGAGGGAGAAAAUCUUCCAUGGACUCAAAAAGAAGAAGUAGAUGUUAAAGAAAGACUUCCAUUAAUAACUCAAAUGAAUAAAAUGCAACAAGCAUCAACACUUUCACUGGCAGAAGCUGGUGUGAACACUGGGAAGAAAACAAUUGAGCUUUUGCACAGUAUGCUUGCUAAGCUGUCACCAGGUGUAGAAGAUCUGCAAGACAUAGAAGCUUUUGAAGACAGUGAAAUAGACAGCAUUACUGAGGAUAGAUUAAAUAAGCUACCAAAACUUCUUGGAAGCUUGGAGUCAAAUCUGAAAGACCUGCAGGAAGCACUGGCUCUGACAGAUGACCAAACAAGCAAUGUAAGUGAAAGUUGUGGAUAUGAGCUAAAAAGGAUUUUAGCUGCAAGUCUGGAAGCAAAACUGAAAGACCUGCAGCAAGUGGAGGCUUUCAUAGCAGAUCAACUAGGCAUACAUGGGUCUGAUGAAAAGCAACUAUAUGACAUCCCACAAACAAGACGACUUCUAUUGUCAAGUUUGGAACCAACUCUGAAAGACCUGCAAAUGGCAGAGGCUAAUAUAAUUAGUCUGCCAGACAGCAUAAAUGAGGACAGACUGAAGGAAUUAAUCAACCAAAAAAAUAUUUUGCUGUCAAGUCUGGAAAAAAAUUCACAAGAUUUGCAACAAGCACAGGCUAUUGUAGUAGACCAAGACGACAAAUACAGAUUUUAUGAGAAAAAAAUGCAGGACCUAACAGAAAAAAGAAAGCUUUUGCUUACCAGCCUGGAAUCGAAUUGGAGAGAUUUGCAACAGACUCAGGCUCUGGAUGCCAGCCAACUUCAUGACAUGAAUGAUAAUUGCUUUGGCAGCAAUUCUGAUUUUUUUGAAAGAAAAUCAGAGGUGACUGGAAAACAGCCUCUAAAUAGUAGAACUUUGCAGCUAGAAUGUAUUCUUUCAGCACUUCCACUUGAUCAAGACAGAAGCUUUGCACCUGCAGAGCCAACUUACAACAGCGAAACCACAUCACCUAUUCAUCAAUUGAUGCCAAGCAGAGUUGUAUCCAGUAUACAUUUUGACUUUUCUACACUUCCAGCCUUAGUACCAGGAGACUUUGAUGCCUCAACUCCUUAUCAGACAGAAUGGGGAGCACUGUUUAUUUCUGGGAAGAGUUACCCUUUGCUGAGCUCAAAGAGUCAAGAAGCAAAAAGGAGGUGAAACAUCUCUGAUGAUAAAAUUCUCUCAUAUUCCUCUUAUUAGAAUAGUUGUGAUGGUAAACUUACAGCAUUAAUAAAAAUACCACUCUGUCACUCUCUUAUAGCCUG